Molecule: ribosomal RNA, 485 nt
Filed under: uncultured bacterium
Lineage: Bacteria
Description: partial 16S ribosomal RNA
Rfam family: Bacterial small subunit ribosomal RNA
Source: RNAcentral
GAUGAACGCUGGCGGCGUGCCUAAUACAUGCAAGUCGAACGCUGGAAAUCUAGCUUGCUCGCUUGAAGGAGUGGCGAACGGGUGAGUAAUACAUAAGCAACCUACCCACGAAGACUGGGAUAAUCUCUGGAAACGGGGACUAAUACCGGAUAGGUAAUCGGAAGGCAUCUUCUGAUUAUUAAAGGUUAAAAACACUGGUGGAUGGGCUUAUGGCGCAUUAGUUAGUUGGUGAGGUAACGGCCCACCAAGACGAUGAUGCGUAGCCGGCCUGAGAGGGUGAACGGCCACAUUGGGACUGAGACACGGCCCAGACUCCUACGGGAGGCAGCAGUAGGGAAUUUGCGGCAAUGGGGGAAACCCUGACCGAGCAACGCCGCGUGAGUGAUGACGGCCUUCGGGUGGUAAAGCUCUGUUGUAAGGGAAGAACGGUAGAUAGAGAAUAUCUAAAUGACGGUACCUUACCAGAAAGCCACGGCUAACUACGU